AACGGAGUGCGCGCUAUUGGGGCUCAAGUGGUCACGUGCAGCUCGUCGGGCGCGCGCACAUAGGACUUCCCAGACCUGUUACUGUCUGCAGUCUGCCUUCCUCAUAAAACGUUUUUGCAAAUGGAUGUAUUAGGUUGGGUUACUAAACACACUUACCCGUGCGGAAGCACCUAGCACGUCACCAGCAGCCCUCGGCAAAACUUUUUUUGUCGCUUUUAGUCGUUUGGCAUCACUGUGGAUUUCGAGAGGCAACUUUUCUUUUGGACUUGACACAAGAUGAGCGACAAGACUCUGCAAGGGAUGUGAACCCAUUGCUUUUUUUUCUUUGAAGUCUUGCUGAAAUGAGAAUCUACUUCAAGAAGUCCAUUCUGAUAGUAGGCUUCACUUCCUUGCUCUUCAUCCUGUUUGUUGUACUAAUCUCAAAGAGUGAAGACGAUGGUACCACUAAAGCAGAAAAACUUUUGUCAAGAGAGAUUUCCUUGCAGCAGAUUAAUUCAGGACAAAACCUGCAAAACUUCAAAGAUCUAUGGCAGUCCUACUCCUACAAUGUUUCAUACGACUUCCUGGCUGGAUUUCCUGUCCAGAAACAGAAGUACCUUGCAAUUGGUCUCUCAUCGGUCAAAAGAAAACGAGGCAAUUAUGUUCUCGAAACUCUCAAAUCCAUUUUUGAGAAAUCAACAGAUGAGGAACUGCAAGAGAUGGUUGUUGUGGUCCACCUCGCAGACUUCGAUAAAGCUUGGAAUAUGAAAGUAGCAAUGGAUAUUUCCACAAAGUUUGCACGCCGUAUUCUUUCCGGACAUCUGCUCAUCAUCCAUGCGCCCCAGGAGCAUUAUCCUCCUUUGGAAGGUCUGAAGCGGAACUUCAAUGACGCAGAGAACCGUGUGACGUUCCGCUCCAAGCAGAAUGUGGACUAUGCUUUCCUGCUUAACUUCUGUGCCAAUUUGUCUAGCUACUACCUUAUGAUCGAGGAUGAUGUUAAGUGUUCCAAGUCUUUCUUUACCAUUAUCAAAAAAUCCAUUGCAUCUAGAAAGGGGACCUACUGGGUCACUCUGGAAUUUUCCAAGCUAGGAUACAUUGGUAAGCUUUAUCAUUCUAGUGACUUACCAAGACUUGCUCAGUUUCUUCUCCUGUUCUAUCAAGAGAUGCCCUGUGACUGGUUAUUAGGUCACUUUCAAAAUCUUUUAGCUCAAAAGGAUGUGAUUCGCUUCAAGCCCUCUUUAUUUCAACACACUGGAUAUUAUUCCUCCUUCCUGGGCACAGCCAAUCUUUUAAAGGAUGAUGAUUUUGAGGAGGACCCCUUUGAUAUCCCUGAUAACCCACCUGCCACUAUUUUCACUGACAUCAAUACAUUUGAAUCUUACUAUCCUAAAAAAGCUUAUAGCAACAUGGAUGAAUACUUCUGGGGCAAGUCGCCAUCUGCUGGAAAUUAUUUCACUAUAAUAUUCAACAGACCUGUAGUAUUAAACAAGCUCCAUAUCCACACAGGCACUGAUGAACGCAAAGGGGAUGCCUUACAGUUUGGUGAUGUGGAGUUAGGAAGUCAACUUGGCAAAUCAAGAAACCGAUUGGAGUGUUCCAGUUACAAUAAAAUUGGGAGUUUUGUCGAUGGACGCUUUCAGAAAGAUGACAUCUAUAAAAGUUAUGACAGUCCUGUGUCUUGCGUGAAAAUUGUGAUAACUAAAAGUCAAAGCAAAUGGCUUAUUAUUCAGAAUAUUAGUAUAUGGACAAAGCAACUUUUAAAAUAAGAAAACUGUUUUAAAUAUUAUUUUUGUCAAAGGAGAAUUGUAUUAUUAGGGCAGCACAAUGGUUACCCCUGCUGCCUCAUGGGUCCAAUAUCCUGAGUUUUGAAGCCUGUGGCCAGUUGCUGGCUCUAUGAAGUUUGCAUGCUCUUUCAAGGACUGUCGGCCACUUCCUGGGCACAGCCACACUCUUAAAGGACGACUGUAUCCCUGGUCUUUCUUCUGGACAAUUCACCUUUAUUCUACUCCAUCUGGACAAAAAUAAUUGACCAAAGUUUAUCAUCUUUAACCAAACUGGAGUGUGUGCUGUCAGAGAUUCUCAAACUCACUUAACUCAAUUCAAUGCAGUAGGAGCUCAAGCUGUAAGGGCAUAAGGCUGGAAGUAGCCCUGGAAAAGGCGGACAAGUUUUUUAUUCUCCUUCAGAAUUCUGGUAAUUUUUGUUUUAAUUUGAAAAUGUUCUAUUGUUUGAUAAAAAGAUCUGUGAUCCCUGCUAUAAAGAUACAGAUGUAAAAGUCAUCACCAAAAUCUGGGCAAUUAAAGCGCCUGACUUUCA
This is an RNA transcript of Polypterus senegalus (gray bichir), 2293 nucleotides long. It is a transcript of the gene named alpha-1,3-mannosyl-glycoprotein 4-beta-N-acetylglucosaminyltransferase C-like, with no coding region annotated. The transcript is spliced from 5 exons. Lineage: Eukaryota; Metazoa; Chordata; Cladistia; Polypteriformes; Polypteridae. The record is from RefSeq and is a predicted model, not a curated record.